This 307-nucleotide long non-coding RNA is filed under the name Sparus aurata (gilthead seabream). Its description in RNAcentral is "lncRNA (ENSSAUG00010021257.1)". The record is from RNAcentral. Lineage: Eukaryota; Metazoa; Chordata; Actinopteri; Spariformes; Sparidae.
CUUUUUAAAUUCAGCAACAGUGAUCCAGGAAGAAGACUGCAGCAGCUCACUCUCCACUGAAGACGUUCAACCCAGCAGCAGAGAAGAAGAACAACAACUCACAGACUCGGGAUGAAGACCUCCAGGAAGAAGGCCUCUGCUUUUUUUUUUUUUUUUGGAGAAAAAUAAAUUUUAUCACUGUUACAAGAUGUCAGUGUAUGCCUGUUGAAUUAUUAUUAAUUAUGUUCCAAGUUUAGUUUUCCUUUGUAACAAGGACCAUAGAUGAAGACACUGAGAAUGAAUGGUAGGUGGUGAAAUGAAUACAUUG